AACGAACGCUGGCGGCAUGCCUUACACAUGCAAGUCGAACGAGACCUUCCGGUCUAGUGGCGCACGGGUGCGUAACGCGUGGGAACCUGCCCGUAGGUUCGGAAUAACUCGCCGAAAGGGGUGCUAAUACCGGAUAAUGUCUCCUGACCAAAGAUUUAUCGCCUGUGGAUGGGCCCGCGUUGGUUUAGCUAGUUGGUAGGGUAAAGGCCUACCAAGGCGACGAUCCAUAGCUGGGCUGAGAGGAUGAUCAGCGACACUGGGACUGAGACACGGCCCGGACUCCUACGGGAGGGAGGAGUGGGGAAUAUUGGACAAUGGGCGAAAGCCUGAUCCAGCAAUGCCGCGUGAGUGAUGAAGGCAUUAGGGUUGUAAAGCUCUUUUACCCGGGAUGAUAAUGACAGUACCGGGAGAAUAAGCUCCGGCUAACUCCGUG
RNAcentral lists this ribosomal RNA (433 nucleotides) under uncultured bacterium. Its description in RNAcentral is "partial 16S ribosomal RNA". It matches the Rfam family "Bacterial small subunit ribosomal RNA", at positions 29 to 507 of the family's 1533-position model. The record is from RNAcentral.